UGGCAAGCGUUAUCCGGAAUUAUUGGGCGUAAAGCGCGCGUAGGCGGUUUUUUAAGUCUGAUGUGAAAGCCCACGGCUCAACCGUGGAGGGUCAUUGGAAACUGGAAAACUUGAGUGCGGAAGAGGAAAGUGGAAUUCCAUGUGUAGCGGUGAAAUGCGCAGAGAUAUGGAGGAACACCAGUGGCGAAGGCGACUUUCUGGUCUGUAACUGACGCUGAUGUGCGAAAGCGUGGGGAUCAAACAGGAUUAGAUACCCUGGUAGUCAAGGGCG
This 271-nucleotide ribosomal RNA is filed under the name uncultured Staphylococcus sp. RNAcentral's name for it is "partial 16S ribosomal RNA". It matches the Rfam family "Bacterial small subunit ribosomal RNA", at positions 532 to 802 of the family's 1533-position model. The record is from RNAcentral. Lineage: Bacteria; Bacillati; Bacillota; Bacilli; Caryophanales; Staphylococcaceae.